Long non-coding RNA from Theobroma cacao (cacao), 806 nucleotides. RefSeq lists it as uncharacterized. The record is from RefSeq and is a predicted model, not a curated record. Lineage: Eukaryota; Viridiplantae; Streptophyta; Magnoliopsida; Malvales; Malvaceae.
AUUCGACUGCUAAAGCAAAUCAGGCUUUCUGUGAACAUAACUCCUUGUUAACUUUUGCCUUUUGGGAUGGGAUAAAAAUUUUCCACCUAUUCGGAUUUCCUUCAACACCUUAAUUCCCCACCCCCAACAUCCCUCAUCUCUUCAUUAUAAAGCUAUUCAGUUUCUUUCUCUGUUUUGGUUUUUAUGUAGAUCUCUUUGUGGGAAGGCUUUGGCAAAGAUAACCGCAAGCUGAAAGAAUAUGAGUCGUCAUCACCACCACCACCACCACCACCACGGAGACAGUCCUUACGAUGAUCCAUUCUUGAGGUGCUGUUGCUGCCCAUGUUUUAUAAUGUCUUCCAUUUUCAGGGGCCUUGGCAGAUGCAUAUUUGUUGCUUGUUAUCCCGUUCUCCACUGCUUUGGAUUCGACGAUGAUUGGGCUCACCGCCAUCAUCACCGUCACAGGCACUUCCCCUGAAUUCAUGUUUCUCUAUUUUCAGUUUUAAGAUAUGAAUGACCACAAGAUGAAAGACAGUGGCUUUUGGCAUUUGCUAAUAAAUAAGAUCGUACUCCAAAUGUUUAUUGCUGGUGGGCUCAAGGACGGCUUUUUUGUCCUCUUUCAUUUUGAGGUGUCAAUCUCGCUGGUUUGAUAUGGACCAUGGACUAUGGACAAUGGACGUGUUUUCUUAGGUUUUUUUUUUUUUUAAAGUUUUAGGAUUAUUUUUGUUUUUUAAUCUAUUUAGGCUAUCAUAAAUAUUCAUUUUUUUCUUAGUACCUUUAUUUCCAAUAUAUUUUACAAGAUAAUUAAUGCUUGCAAUCAAGUAUCA